CCUACGGGAGGCAGCAGUGGGGAAUUUUGGACAAUGGGCGCAAGCCUGAUCCAGCAAUGCCGCGUGAGUGAAGAAGGCCUUCGGGUUGUAAAGCUCUUUUGUCAGGGAAGAAACGGUGGGAGCUAAUAUCUCCUACUAAUGACGGUACCUGAAGAAUAAGCACCGGCUAACUACGUGCCAGCAGCCGCGGUAAUACGUAGGGUGCAAGCGUUAAUCGGAAUUACUGGGCGUAAAGCGUGCGCAGGCGGUUUUGUAAGUCUGUCGUGAAAGCCCCGGGCUCAACCUGGGAAUUGCGAUGGAGACUGCAAGGCUUGAAUCUGGCAGAGGGGGGUAGAAUUCCACGUGUAGCAGUGAAAUGCGUAGAGAUGUGGAGGAACACCGAUGGCGAAGGCAGCCCCCUGGGUCAAGAUUGACGCUCAUGCACGAAAGCGUGGGGAGCAAACAGGAUUAGAUACCCUGGUAGUCCACGCCCUAAACGAUGUCUACUAGUUGUCGGGUUUUAAUUAACUUGGUAACGCAGCUAACGCGUGAAGUAGACCGCCUGGGGAGUACGGUCGCAAGAUUAAAACUUAAAUGAAUUGACGG
RNAcentral lists this ribosomal RNA (585 nucleotides) under uncultured bacterium. Its description in RNAcentral is "bacterial SSU rRNA". It matches the Rfam family "Bacterial small subunit ribosomal RNA", at positions 338 to 916 of the family's 1533-position model. The record is from RNAcentral.